CUUUUAUAGUAUCGUGCUUGAUUGUAUAUUUGGAUUUAGUCAUAAAAUAUGCAUUUAUGCGCUCAUUAAUGCAUCUUUUAUAUAGUUGAAUGAAUGAAUGAAAUGUUAGUCCGUGUAUGUAUACCGAUGGUUACGACAAAAUGAAUGGGAAUGCGCGCCAGCUGCGAGGAGUUAGGCAGAAAAAUGUAACGCAACUUCCUCGAUUUUUACAGAACAACAGUUACAGAAAGGAUUGGGUAGUUAACACGAAUCACUCUAUUGCGCAUGAGCGUUACUUGGUCGACCUGAGUAGUGUGGUGUGGGGGUUCGAUUGUAAGUUGUCAACAGCCAGGUUGUUACGAAAGAAUGAGC
RNAcentral lists this long non-coding RNA (351 nucleotides) under Androctonus crassicauda. The record is from RNAcentral. Lineage: Eukaryota; Metazoa; Arthropoda; Arachnida; Scorpiones; Buthidae.